Long non-coding RNA from Vitis riparia (riverbank grape), 1260 nucleotides. RefSeq lists it as uncharacterized. The transcript is spliced from 2 exons. Lineage: Eukaryota; Viridiplantae; Streptophyta; Magnoliopsida; Vitales; Vitaceae. The record is from RefSeq and is a predicted model, not a curated record.
AUCUGAUCAUUAAAUUUGUGUUCUGUUAAUCUGAUCAUUAAAUGAUAUUAUUACAUAUUUAACACCUUCUUAAUUAUAUCAAAGCAAGAGAUGGAAUUUUGUGCUCAGCGGCUCAAACAUGCCUUCAUUUGUUCUCUGGUCCUCUGGACUAGAAAGCCCCUUAUCAUGGGGUCUUCCUUUAUAUACUUACUCCAUACUUGGUCUGCACACUUUUUUAUUAGGUGCUUUUAAACAAAUAUAUCUUUGCCUAUCAAUAUAUAUACAUUUUGCAACCAUCAAAGACUUCUUAAAAAGGCAAAUUAUGUAUAAUUUAUCUUGUGUUUUACUUUUUAUGAUUUUAUUGUGUUCCUACUUUUUCUUAAUUAUUAUGUUUCUUUGUAUCCUGAAGCAUGGUUCAGAUGGCAAGGAAUUGAGUAAGGAGGUUCUAGAUUUAACUCUACAUUUGUUUUUACGUCCAAAUUUGUCCCAUUAGAUUUUAAUUUUUGGAAUAAAAUAUAAUUAAACUGGAUUUUCUGUAUACUUUUCAGAUUUUCUAAAUCAAGAAAGCGUAUUUGAUUUUAUGACCGUUAUAAAACGGUUCUAAAUUCAAUCUUUUCUGUAGCUUAGUUUUUUCUAUAAAUACCACAAUGCAAUACGCGUCUUUCCAUCGACAUUGGAGAUCAUCUGCGCUCAGCUGAUGAUGAGCGGCCAGUUGAGCCAGUAUUCUGGCCUCCAAACCCAGAAGAGGUGAAGUCUCUGAUCAACAAAUAUAUAAGGACAUAGCAAGAAGGCAAAAGAACUGAAAAUCCUGGAAGGCAACCAGAGUACAGAACCAAAGAACUUGUCUGUGGUUCAGCUGAAGGAAUUAUUGAACAAAUGUGAUGAUAAACUUGAAGCCAUUAAUUAUAGAAUGGAAACACUGUUCUUUUGGACGAACCUGAUGAACGGGUGAUGGACGAAGAGGAGUAUGCAGCAAGAACUUGUUGUUGAUUCGUUUAGAUCCUUUGAAGCUGUGAGGCAAAUAGUUUAGCUGCUCAAACAUAUCUUCAUUUGUUCUCUGGUCGUUUGUAUUAGAAAGCCCCUCACUGUGGGAUGUAAAUGUUUGUCAGUUUUAGAUUUUCUUGACUGGUUGGGUUUGUUAAUAGGAGGAUGUUUUCUUUUUCUUUUCCUUUCGCCCUUUAUGUGGGUUUUCAUCCCUUCUUCUGUAUGGUGCUUUUAAAUAAACCUAUGUUUACCAAUCAAUAUAUGAUAUAUACCAACCAUCAAAUUAAUUCUAUGUUC